Molecule: ribosomal RNA, 253 nt
Filed under: uncultured bacterium
Lineage: Bacteria
Description: partial 16S ribosomal RNA
Rfam family: Bacterial small subunit ribosomal RNA
Source: RNAcentral
UACGGGGGGGGCAAGCGUUGUUCGGAAUUACUGGGCGUAAAGGGCUCGUAGGCGGCCAACUAAGUCAGACGUGAAAUCCCUCGGCUUAACCGGGGAACUGCGUCUGAUACUGGAUGGCUUGAAUCCGGGAGAGGGAUGCGGAAUUCCAGGUGUAGCGGUGAAAUGCGUAGAUAUCGAGAGGAACACCGGUGGCGAAGGCGGCGAUCUGGACGAUGACUGACGCUGAGACGCGAAAGCGUGGGGAGCAAACAGG